AUGGCUAACUACAAGACAAGUCGAGCGGUCAGAUGGGAGCUUGCUCCCUGAUGUUAGCGGCGGACGGGUGAGUAACACGUGGGUAACCUGCCUGUAAGACUGGGAUAACUCCGGGAAACCGGGGCUAAUACCGGAUGGUUGUUUGAACCGCAUGGUUCAAACAUAAAAGGUGGCUUCGGCUACCACUUACAGAUGGACCCGCGGCGCAUUAGCUAGUUGGUGAGGUAACGGCUCACCAAGGCAACGAUGCGUAGCCGACCUGAGAGGGUGAUCGGCCACACUGGGACUGAGACACGGCCCAGACUCCUACGGGAGGCAGCAGUAGGGAAUCUUCCGCAAUGGACGAAAGUCUGACGGAGCAACGCCGCGUGAGUGAUGAAGGUUUUCGGAUCGUAAAGCUCUGUUGUUAGGGAAGAACAAGUACCCGUUCGAAUAGGGCGGUACCUUGACGGUACCUAACCAGAAAGCCACGGCUUAACUACGUUGCCAGCAGCCGCGGUAAUACGUA
RNAcentral lists this ribosomal RNA (508 nucleotides) under Bacillus subtilis. RNAcentral's name for it is "bacterial SSU rRNA". It matches the Rfam family "Bacterial small subunit ribosomal RNA", at positions 44 to 529 of the family's 1533-position model. The record is from RNAcentral. Lineage: Bacteria; Bacillati; Bacillota; Bacilli; Caryophanales; Bacillaceae.